GCGGCAUGACUUCGAGAAUGUGCUCCGGCACUGUAAGCGAAGCCGGAUCGUCCUUCCGCCGAGUCUAGCAAGGAUCCAGCAUCGUCAGGACAUUGUCCAUUGUAUCGAGCUCCACCCAGAAACAAUUUGUUUGCCAGACACAUGUUUCGUCCUUUGGACACUUUUGACGGUUCUUUACCACCGAGUAAAGUAUAGUGUCCAGUGGCCUGACCGGAUUUCGGCUCAUGGAAUUGUACCUGCACAGCCUCACCUUUUUUAUCAUCGCCGAUGACGUACUGCUGCAUUUUCUCUACGUCAUAAAUUUCUAUUUUUCUACCGAGCACGUCACUGAUAGCACAUAGCUGUGGGAGUCCGGACGGAUCUCCGGAAUCUACGCCGUCUAUGAAAUCUUCGAUUUUCUGCAAGGCUGAUCCAUUUGCGUUGAGUAUAAUGGAUAUAUCACGUUGAUGCUAUUCGUUUGACCAAACUGUUGUGACAAAAGGUGGUAAUUAGAAGACACUGACAAUAUGUGCACGGUGAUAAAAGGUGGAAGGAACUCUAAGAACCCUCAGUGACUCAGCCCUGGCAUCUAUAAUGAGGAUGGAUUUUGAGAAGAGGAAAAAAAUAAUUCACGCAGAUGAUCAUCCUUUAAA
RNAcentral lists this long non-coding RNA (632 nucleotides) under Neodiprion lecontei (redheaded pine sawfly). Its description in RNAcentral is "uncharacterized LOC124295023". Lineage: Eukaryota; Metazoa; Arthropoda; Insecta; Hymenoptera; Diprionidae. The record is from RNAcentral.